This 446-nucleotide ribosomal RNA is filed under the name Cutibacterium acnes. RNAcentral's name for it is "bacterial SSU rRNA". It matches the Rfam family "Bacterial small subunit ribosomal RNA", at positions 28 to 485 of the family's 1533-position model. The record is from RNAcentral. Lineage: Bacteria; Bacillati; Actinomycetota; Actinomycetes; Propionibacteriales; Propionibacteriaceae.
GACGAACGCUGGCGGCGUGCUUAACACAUGCAAGCCGAACGGAAAGGCCCUGCUUUUGUGGGGUGCUCGAGUGGCGAACGGGUGAGUAACACGUGAGUAACCUGCCCUUGACUUUGGGAUAACUUCAGGAAACUGGGGCUAAUACCGGAUAGGAGCUCCUGCUGCAUGGUGGGGGUUGGAAAGUUUCGGCGGUUGGGGAUGGACUCGCGGCUUAUCAGCUUGUUGGUGGGGUAGUGGCUUACCAAGGCUUUGACGGGUAGCCGGCCUGAGAGGGUGACCGGCCACAUUGGGACUGAGAUACGGCCCAGACUCCUACGGGAGGCAGCAGUGGGGAAUAUUGCACAAUGGGCGGAAGCCUGAUGCAGCAACGCCGCGUGCGGGAUGACGGCCUUCGGGUUGUAAACCGCUUUCGCCUGUGACGAAGCGUGAGUGACGGUAAUGGAAAG